GCCGGUUAUGGUUUUGUAAUGUAGAUAGAUGUAUCACACGUUUCCCAUAAAAGACAUUCACAAACUUAUAAUAGUUUGUCGAAAGUAUGUACUCACAUUAUUUAUGCAUAUAUACUUCUUUCAAAACAACUUCAUCAACGAAUUCCGUAGCAGAUGAUUAAUGAACAUGUUAAUAUGUUACAAGAAUAAGAUUUCUCAAAUACACAUUUGGAGCUAGUGAAGAUUGAAGAUCUGAUGAACUUAAAGAUGAUACAGCUAGUAUUGAGCUCUUCAGUUGUGUAGGUUAGGUUACCUAUCUAGACAUCAUCGUCAUUCGCCAGCUCAAAUAUCACCAAAGUUUUUAUUUGCUUUAGGUAAAAUUAAAUCCGAUAGAUUAACAUUUUGAUUGAUAAUUCAUUUGCAAUAGACUACAAUGAUGUUUUCUGGAAUGAUUUUUGAGGAUCAUCGAGAAUUAGUAACAAAAUAUAACUUCCAAUUCAUAGCUGAAGACUAUAACGAAUUUAGUUAAGUUAUAAUAAAUCAAUAGAUUUUUAAAAAUAAAACCGUUUACCAUGUACAUGUUUAAUACUAAAUCUUUUCGUUUAAGUACACCAAUCAACAAGUUUAAGAAUCUAAUAAUCUCUUUCCUUAAUUUCCCAAUAAAAUGAGCAAUGUUUAUCGUGGUGUCCUCCAACCGUAAUGAUUUAAUAAUACAUUAAAUUUUACUCCUCACAACGGUGGUCAUUAGGUAGAACAGUUAACAAAGUCAACGAUCAUUUGACUUUCAUCACACUUGAAUGUUAUAAAAAUGUUUGAUGUGUUCAAAUUUUCUUUUUUCUCCCUGUAUUGCUGGUCUUAUAAUAUACACUAUUUAAUAUUUUCUGUAUCAUUCAAGACACUAUUCAUAAUUCGAUGAAAGGUAUGUAGUAUAUACUUUGUCAGUUUUUCUGUUUUAUAUAUUGUAUGUGUCUAAAUAUCUUUUAUUUGUGUGUAUAAAUAUUUCUACAAGCUAAAGCAGUUAAUUUAUGAAGAUAAAAUUUAAAACAGUAGAGUGAGACGUCAAAAUUUACUUAAUAUCGUAAGUUUCUAUAACUUAUGUUAUUAAAAGACAUUAGAAAGGUUACGAUAAAACAAUAUCAAUAUUGUCCAUUUUAAUAUAUAGACUGUAUACUAUAUACGUAUAAUAUUGAAUGUAUAAUACAUAUACUGUAUAAUUCGGUUUGUUUUCAUAUAAUUUAUUAUAAAUAUAUAUAUUUUAUUACCUUGGUUGUUUAUCUAA
Molecule: long non-coding RNA, 1258 nt
Organism: Rhopalosiphum padi (bird cherry-oat aphid)
Lineage: Eukaryota; Metazoa; Arthropoda; Insecta; Hemiptera; Aphididae
Exons: 3
Source: RefSeq, a predicted model, not a curated record